GACGAACGCUGGCGGCGUGCCUAAUACAUGCAAGUAGAACGCUGAAGGAGGAGCUUGCUUCUCUGGAUGAGUUGCGAACGGGUGAGUAACGCGUAGGUAACCUGCCUGGUAGCGGGGGAUAACUAUUGGAAACGAUAGCUAAUACCGCAUAAUAGUAGAUGUUGCAUGACAUUUACUUAAAAGAUGCAAUUGCAUCACUACCAGAUGGACCUGCGUUGUAUUAGCUAGUUGGUGGGGUAACGGCUCACCAAGGCGAAGAUACAUAGCCGACCUGAGAGGGUGAUCGGCCACACUGGGACUGAGACACGGCCCAGAAUCCUACGGGAGGCAGCAGUAGGGAAUCUUCGGCAAUAGACGAAAGUCUGACCGAGCAACGCCGCGGGAGUGAAGAAGGUUUUCGGAUCGUAAAGCUCUGUUGUAAGAGAAGAACGAGUGUGAGAGUGGAAAGUUCACACUGUGACGGUAUCUUACCAGAAAGGGACGGCUAACUACGUG
RNAcentral lists this ribosomal RNA (495 nucleotides) under uncultured bacterium. RNAcentral describes it as "partial 16S ribosomal RNA". It matches the Rfam family "Bacterial small subunit ribosomal RNA", at positions 28 to 507 of the family's 1533-position model. The record is from RNAcentral.